CACCUCUUCCCAUUCCGAACAGAGAAGUUAAGUCCCUUAUGGCCGAUGGUACUGCACAACAAUGCGGGAGAGUAGGUAGCUGCCAUAU
RNAcentral lists this ribosomal RNA (88 nucleotides) under Bacteroidota bacterium. The record is from RNAcentral. Lineage: Bacteria; Pseudomonadati; Bacteroidota.